This is a long non-coding RNA of Portunus trituberculatus (swimming crab), 157 nucleotides long. RefSeq lists it as uncharacterized. NCBI's taxonomy places the organism in Eukaryota, Metazoa, Arthropoda, Malacostraca, Decapoda, Portunidae. The transcript is spliced from 2 exons. The record is from RefSeq and is a predicted model, not a curated record.
CUCCAACCACACCACCACCACCACAUGUCUUCAGAAACAAGUGGAAAAUAGGCCAGCUAGUAGUAUGGCAGGUCAUUCCUGAAGGUCAGAUUCCAGCACUCAACUACCACAUUGUCACAGCAUUACCAAGAAACUUAUUAAUAGCAUCCUUGAAAAA